RNAcentral lists this small nuclear RNA (96 nucleotides) under Fukomys damarensis (Damara mole-rat). RNAcentral describes it as "U2 spliceosomal RNA". It matches the Rfam family "U2 spliceosomal RNA". Rfam says of the family: U2 is a small nuclear RNA (snRNA) component of the spliceosome (involved in pre-mRNA splicing). Complementary binding between U2 snRNA (in an area lying towards the 5' end but 3' to hairpin I) and the branchpoint sequence (BPS) of the intron results the bulging out of an unpaired adenosine, on the BPS, which initiates a nucleophilic attack at the intronic 5' splice site, thus starting the first of two transesterification reactions that mediate splicing. Lineage: Eukaryota; Metazoa; Chordata; Mammalia; Rodentia; Bathyergidae. The record is from Rfam by way of RNAcentral.
AUCGCUUCUCGGCCUUUUGGCUAAGAUCAAGUGUAGAAAUUAAACUUAGACAUUAUAACAUUUUUAGUCUAUAAAGUCAUUCAUUUUCAACCUUUU